Long non-coding RNA from Megalobrama amblycephala (Wuchang bream), 538 nucleotides. RefSeq lists it as uncharacterized. Lineage: Eukaryota; Metazoa; Chordata; Actinopteri; Cypriniformes; Xenocyprididae. The record is from RefSeq and is a predicted model, not a curated record. The transcript has 3 exons.
AUAUCAUCGCACUGCUCUCCACUAUAUUAGUGAUAUCAGUGAUAGUGAAUAUAAUAAUGGUGCUGUCAUGGAGAAGAACUGCACACAGAGGUGUUGGCGUGGCCCAAUCUACAGUCCUGACUGCUGACAGAGACUCAGAAAAUUAUGCAUCGCUGAAGUUUUCUUCACACCAGCCUACAUGUAAAAUAAAAAGCCACAAAGAGGUAGAUUCUGUGGUCUAUGCGUCUGUCCGUCAAACAAGAAGUGUUAAAUAAGGAUUUGCUCAUUCUUAAUGCUUGUCAUGUUGUAACUGUGUGAAUAAGAUAAUGAAUGUUAUUAAAUAUUUAAAUGAAUGUCACAUUCAUCAUGUGGUCUCAAAUAAUACGAGCAUCACAUCAUUCAGCUGCAAUAUUAAGUCUUGUAUUUGGAUCUUAAUGCAGUCUUAAUGCACGUGGUCUUAAAAUUUUGUCUUAUAGGGCCUAUAUCUUAUAAUAGCAUUUAUGUGGCAUUGUAGUGUCUCCAUGUAAUUCAGUGUCAUUAAUAUGUUUAAAUAUACACA